This 374-nucleotide ribosomal RNA is filed under the name uncultured organism. RNAcentral's name for it is "bacterial SSU rRNA". It matches the Rfam family "Bacterial small subunit ribosomal RNA", at positions 526 to 896 of the family's 1533-position model. The record is from RNAcentral.
CGGGGGGAGCAAGCGUUGUUCGGAUUUACUGGGCGUAAAGGGCGCGUAGGCGGCCACCGCAAGUCGACUGUGAAAUCUCCGGGCUUAACCCGGAAAGGUCAGCCGAUACUGCGGGGCUAGAGUGCAGAAGGGGCAACUGGAAUUCUCGGUGUAGCGGUGAAAUGCGUAGAUAUCGAGAGGAACACCUGCGGCGAAGGCAGGUUGCUGGGCUGACACUGACGCUGAUGCGCGAAAGCUAGGGGAGCGAACGGGAUUAGAUACCCCGGUAGUCCUAGCCUUAAACGAUGAAUGCUUGGUGUCUGGGGUUUUAUAGUCCCCGGGUGCCGUCGCUAACGCUUUAAGCAUUCCGCCUGGGGAGUACGGUCGCAAGACUG